Molecule: ribosomal RNA, 254 nt
Filed under: uncultured bacterium
Lineage: Bacteria
Description: partial 16S ribosomal RNA
Rfam family: Bacterial small subunit ribosomal RNA
Source: RNAcentral
UACGUAGGGUCCGAGCGUUGUCCGGAAUUAUUGGGCGUAAAGAGCUCGUAGGCGGUUUCGUAAGUCGGGUGUGAAAACCCCAGGCUCAACCUGGGGACGCCACCCGAUACUGCGAUGACUAGAGUCCGGUAGGGGAGUGUGGAAUUCCUGGUGUAGCGGUGAAAUGCGUAGAUAUCGGAAGGAACACCGGUGGCGAAGGCGGCAUCCUGGACCGGCAUUGACGCUGAGGCGCGAAAGCCAGGGGAGCAAACGGG